Non-coding RNA from Ictidomys tridecemlineatus (thirteen-lined ground squirrel), 72 nucleotides. NCBI's taxonomy places the organism in Eukaryota, Metazoa, Chordata, Mammalia, Rodentia, Sciuridae. The record is from Rfam.
GGAGUUGUGGCUCAGCUGUAGAGUGCUCGCCUAGCAUGUGUGAGACCCUGGGUUCGAUCCUCAGCACCAACA